UACGUAGGGACCAAGCGUUGUCCGGAAUCAUUGGGCGUAAAGAGCGUGUAGGCGGCUUGUUAAGUCUUGCGUGAAAUCUCGGGGCUCAACCCCGAGCGGUCGUGAGAAACUGGCAGGCUAGAGUGCGGGAGAGGAGAGUGGAAUUCCUGGUGUAGCGGUGAAAUGCGCAGAUAUCAGGAAGAACACCCGUGGCGAAGGCGGCUCUCUGGAACGCAACUGACGCUGAGACGCGAAAGCGUGGGGAUCAAACAGG
This 253-nucleotide ribosomal RNA is filed under the name uncultured bacterium. RNAcentral describes it as "partial 16S ribosomal RNA". It matches the Rfam family "Bacterial small subunit ribosomal RNA", at positions 524 to 776 of the family's 1533-position model. The record is from RNAcentral.